ACGCUCGACACCUACGGGUGGCAGCAGUGGGGAAUAUUGCACAAUGGGGGAAACCCUGAUGCAGCGACGCCGCGUGAGUGAAGAAGUAUUUCGGUAUGUAAAGCUCUAUCAGCAGGGAAGAAGAUGACGGUACCUGAGUAAGAAGCCCCGGCUAACUACGUGCCAGCAGCCGCGGUAAUCUGAGCGGGCUGGCAAGGC
This 198-nucleotide ribosomal RNA is filed under the name uncultured bacterium. RNAcentral's name for it is "partial 16S ribosomal RNA". It matches the Rfam family "Bacterial small subunit ribosomal RNA", at positions 328 to 539 of the family's 1533-position model. The record is from RNAcentral.